GACAUAGCUCAGUGGUAGAGCAAUCGGCUGUUAACCGAUCGGUCGUAGGUUCGAACCCUACUGUC
Molecule: transfer RNA, 65 nt
Filed under: bovine gut metagenome
Rfam family: tRNA
About the family: Transfer RNA (tRNA) molecules are approximately 80 nucleotides in length.
Source: RNAcentral